GGACCCGUAGCUCAGCCAGGACAGAGCGUAGGCCUUCGGAGCCUAUGGUCCCGGGUUCGAAUCCCGGCGGGUCCG
Molecule: transfer RNA, 75 nt
Filed under: Metallosphaera yellowstonensis MK1
Lineage: Archaea; Thermoproteati; Thermoproteota; Thermoprotei; Sulfolobales; Sulfolobaceae
Also listed under: 1 other name
Rfam family: tRNA
About the family: Transfer RNA (tRNA) molecules are approximately 80 nucleotides in length. Their secondary structure includes four short double-helical elements and three loops (D, anti-codon, and T loops).
Source: Rfam by way of RNAcentral